UGGGAGAGAUGGUGGAAAAUUAUAAGAUUCAUCUAUAUAAAUUCAUACUAAUGGAGUGCAGGAGCAGCUACCUCCCUUAGACGGCAAAGAAAAUCAAUUAGAUAUAGAUCUUAAUAGGAAGAACAUAUCUCAAAUAAUUUUUGAACUUGCUUUGAGUGUGGUUACUUAUAGAAUAUUUGAAACAUGGAGUACAAUGAAUUUUCUUCUUAAAAUAUGUCAAAUGGCAUAAAGAAAUCAUGAGGGUUAUUUGAAAGGUCUCAACAUUGUCAUAUUAUAUGUGUUCUUGCUUGAAAAUGCAUCACGUGCCUAGUUGUAGAAGAUAAUUAGAAAUGCAAGAACAAUCCUAUCAAGUCUAAUAGACUCUUAAAUAACCUUAAGUAGAUCUUAAUAAUUUUGAUCAAAAUUUAAUCAAUUCAAAAUAAAUUCAAAAGAAGUUAUAAAAGAAAUACAAAGAAGUUCUAAACCAAUUCUAAAGAAAAAUAAUUAAAAAUAUUAAAGAAAUAUAAAAAUAAAACUUUAAAAAAAUUACAGUAAUCUCAAAGAAAUAUUAAAAAUUUAAAUCUUUAAAGAAGUAAUAAAUAAUCCUAAAAAAAAUUAAAAAUAGAAAUCUUAAUAUAAUCCUAAUUGAAAUCCUAAUUAAGCCUUAAUCAAAUCUUAUGUUAUAUCCUAAUAAAACUCUAAUAAAAUUCUAAAUCCUAGAUAAAUCCUAAAAAAAUCUUAAUCAACCUUUAGUGAAUUUCUAAACCAAAUUCUAAACAAAUCUUAAUCUUAAUCAAACCCUAGACCAAAUCUUAAGUCUUAACCAAAUCAUAGACAAAUCUUAAAUUUAAUCUUAUAGAAAAUUGGAAUCUUAACAACUAAUAAUCAAACCAUUGAUAUCAAUUCAAAAUUUUCAUACUUCUUAAUAUACUAAGCAUAAGAAGGAUGAAAUCAAUUGCACUUAUCAAUUGAGAGAAACACAAGAUAAUUCAAAAGGGUAUUAGGUGGCCUCCUACUCCAACCUAAAUGCUGAACUUCUAACAUCUAUACCUCCUUGAAUCAUUGAAUUACUCUCAAAUUUCACAUAAACAUUGGAAAUCAAGUUUAAUAUCC
Molecule: long non-coding RNA, 1092 nt
Filed under: Physcomitrium patens
Lineage: Eukaryota; Viridiplantae; Streptophyta; Bryopsida; Funariales; Funariaceae
Description: long non-coding RNA (PPAT_LNC002417)
Source: RNAcentral